ACAAAACAAGGCAAGGACAUGCACACGUAUUGGGAAGCGGCACCCUAGACCAUGGAAAUGAAGUUAUUACUUGGAGAGAAAUCCUGACGGCUUUCCCAUGCAACUGAGGUCCCAGGUGGACAGAAGGUCUGUGUUCAGCAGUCUCCAUGGCAACAGCAGCCAGCAUUGCACACAGGGUACCAGAUCCUACACUACAACCAACAUGCAGAAAAGCAGUCCUGGCUGGGAAUGACACCCACCAAUGACGGGGGGGAGCUGCACCCCACCAUCAUCUAGAAGACUGUCAGAAAAGGAAGAUACGCAUGGCUCAGAGCUUAAGCUCAUCUUUCUCCUCCUAGCAUCAAGCUGAACAUACUUCUCCUGGGCUGCAUGAUUAUUUUUCCAUUUCCAGAGCUGUCCUCCUGCACGCUCA
Molecule: long non-coding RNA, 412 nt
Organism: Pezoporus flaviventris
Lineage: Eukaryota; Metazoa; Chordata; Aves; Psittaciformes; Psittacidae
Exons: 3
Source: RefSeq, a predicted model, not a curated record